AAUAUUCUUCUGUAUUUUUACAGAUCUCGGUUACAGGUGUGGCCUGAUGAGACUUUGUAUCUCAUGUUAUUAACAGAAAAAAGCAAGGGAUUGUCAAGGAAAACAAUAAAUGUACAAUAUUGAUUUCGAUAUAAUAAAAAAAACCGAACAUGACAAUUGUACAUUUCUCUCUUCAAAUGCAGCCAUAAUUCUGUGUUCAUGUGGAGACGGAGCUGUAGAUUUUGGGUUUGUGGAGACUCCGCUGUUCUGUUACAAUAGAAUGGCUCAUUCAUUCAAAGCAAGCAUGUCGAAAAGGGUCUGCAACAUGGAUUGAGCACACCGUCUGAGUAAUACAGCAUGUUUUGAUAGAGACAUCUGGGAAUUUUUCGCAGUUUUGUGUACAGUGCAUGUGGACCAGAGGCUCGGCCGUCCCCCAGAUCUAGCGUCGUCCACGGAUUCAGGUCGGGGUCCAGGUUUUGUGGCCAACGGUUCAGACAUUCAACGCAACAUUCCACCUCUUGGCACUCAUCUUUUCUUGAAAAGAAAAAAAAGGAAAAGAAA
Molecule: long non-coding RNA, 540 nt
Organism: Puntigrus tetrazona (Sumatra barb)
Lineage: Eukaryota; Metazoa; Chordata; Actinopteri; Cypriniformes; Cyprinidae
Exons: 2
Source: RefSeq, a predicted model, not a curated record